RNAcentral lists this ribosomal RNA (563 nucleotides) under Penicillium sp. RNAcentral describes it as "partial large subunit ribosomal RNA". It matches the Rfam family "Eukaryotic large subunit ribosomal RNA", at positions 81 to 660 of the family's 3401-position model. The record is from RNAcentral. Lineage: Eukaryota; Fungi; Ascomycota; Eurotiomycetes; Eurotiales; Aspergillaceae.
UAGUACGGCGAGUGAAGCGGCAAGAGCUCAAAUUUGAAAGCUGGCUCCUUCGGGGUCCGCAUUGUAAUUUGCAGAGGAUGCUUCGGGAGCGGUCCCCGUCUAAGUGCCCUGGAACGGGCCGUCAUAGAGGGUGAGAAUCCCGUAUGGGACGGGGUGUCCGCGCCCGUGUGAAGCUCCUUCGACGAGUCGAGUUGUUUGGGAAUGCAGCUCUAAAUGGGUGGUAAAUUUCAUCUAAAGCUAAAUAUUGGCCGGAGACCGAUAGCGCACAAGUAGAGUGAUCGAAAGAUGAAAAGCACUUUGAAAAGAGAGUUAAAAAGCACGUGAAAUUGUUGAAAGGGAAGCGCUUGCGACCAGACUCGCCUACGGGGUUCAGCCGGCAUUCGUGCCGGUGUACUUCCCCGUGGGCGGGCCAGCGUCGGUUUGGGCGGCCGGUCAAAGGCCCCCGGAAAUGUACGCCUCUCGGGGCGUCUUAUAGCCGGGGGUGCAAUGCGGGCUGCCUGGGGACGAGAACGCGCUUCCGCACGGACGCUGGCAUAAUGGUCGUAAGCGACCCGUCUUGAAAC